UUCUUUGUAUUAUUGUUUUUUUAUGUUACUUCUUUGCAUCCGAGAAGUGUUGCAUGAAGUAAUUUGUGUUAAUUUUGAUUUUGAGAUUUUAACUUAAGGUUUGAGGUUUAUGUUGUAAUAAUUUAAUUAAACUUUCAUUUCAAAGCUAGACAAUUGAAAGAUUUGAAGCUCAGACAUGGCUAUUGUCAACUGAAACUUAUGUACCAGCAGAUAUUAGACUUGGAUAUUCCGAAGUAGGUAUGCAUUUUCUACUUGGUCCGUCAAGCACUUAACACAUUGGUGAGCUCACUUACUAUCUAAUCUUGUUUACAUCAUAGAAAUUUUGAGUAGCUAUGAAGCUUAGUUACUGUCUAAUUUUGGACCCAACAAGGUAUUUUGUGCUUACCCUAUGAGAAUCUCUUCCAUCCAGUCAAGUAUAGUCAUAGAAGUUAACGAAUUUAGAUCUCGUAUGUUAUUAUUUCAGCACCUCAGUUGUUAUUUUCAAAGAGUAGGAUAAAUUGUUGACUUAAUUAUUCUUGCUUAUUUACUUUUGCUUCUCUUCUUGAGCAGAAAGAAGAGAGAGAGUAAAUUUAUGCAGUAAAAACUUCUGUUGCUCACUAAUUGAGAAAAGAAAAGAAAACAAGUUAAUCUUCUCAUACUAAUUAUUUAGGCAAUUGAUAUUUCGUGUCCAUGAUUCCGUUCUUGACCAAACCUUUUUCUGACAAACAAUUUCGACUAGCUUUCUAUUAAUUACUAUAAGCAAUAGUACGUCGUUUUAUUAGAUUAUAUAAUUCUAUACACUCGUAAGGUAGCUUUACUUUGUAAUCUUCUUCUUCUUUUAUUAAAGUAGAGGUUUAUUUUACCUUGUAAUCUUUCAUUGAAUUAGGGGUUGCUACAUUCAUAAUUUCGAGUAGCACAUUUUAUUGCAUCUUGCUCAUAUAUUUGGUUGUUCUUAUUCUGAACAGAGGAUGAUACCAUCAUUCUCACCAAGGUUAAAGUACCUCUGCUGGUGUUUUUCCAUCAGCAUGUUUAUGAUCAUGAAUGCAUUUUUCAUGGAAGUGUACGAAUAGAAUCGCGUAAACUCCUCGGUUAGCAAUAUUGCUUGUUGAUUACUCAUUUUCAGUGAUUGCGAUUUUGCGAUUGAACAAUUCUAAUUUGAAAAGGCUUCAACUACUUUUGGGGGUUAUUGAUGAAACUUUUCAUUUUUUAUGUUAGAUAGAAACCAAUAUAACAAAGUUCUCUUUCCUACCCAAA
This is a long non-coding RNA of Lycium ferocissimum, 1233 nucleotides long. RefSeq lists it as uncharacterized. The transcript is spliced from 2 exons. The record is from RefSeq and is a predicted model, not a curated record. NCBI's taxonomy places the organism in Eukaryota, Viridiplantae, Streptophyta, Magnoliopsida, Solanales, Solanaceae.